RNAcentral lists this ribosomal RNA (254 nucleotides) under uncultured bacterium. Its description in RNAcentral is "partial 16S ribosomal RNA". It matches the Rfam family "Bacterial small subunit ribosomal RNA", at positions 524 to 776 of the family's 1533-position model. The record is from RNAcentral.
UACGAAGGGGGGCUAGCGUUGCUCGGAAUCACUGGGCGUAAAGCGCACGUAGGCGGAUCUUUAAGUCAGGGGUGAAAUCCUGGAGCUCAACUCCAGAACUGCCUUUGAUACUGGGGAUCUCGAGUCCGGAAGAGGUGAGUGGAAUUCCCGGUGUAGCGGUGGAAUGCGUAGAGAUCGGGAAGAACACCCGUGGCGAAGGCGGCCGGCUGGGCCGGAUCCGACGCUGAGGAGCGAAAGCAUGGGGAGCGAACAGG